This 99-nucleotide ribosomal RNA is filed under the name Pogona vitticeps (central bearded dragon). The record is from RNAcentral. Lineage: Eukaryota; Metazoa; Chordata; Lepidosauria; Squamata; Agamidae.
UCUGAAUAUACCAAAUCUCUGAUUUCAGGAGCUAAGCAGAGUCUGGCCUGCUUAGUAUUUGAAUGAGAGAACACCAAGGAGUACCAGAGAUUUCCAGGU